RNAcentral lists this ribosomal RNA (425 nucleotides) under uncultured bacterium. Its description in RNAcentral is "bacterial SSU rRNA". It matches the Rfam family "Bacterial small subunit ribosomal RNA", at positions 354 to 796 of the family's 1533-position model. The record is from RNAcentral.
GUAACGAAUCUUCCGCAAUGGACGAAAGUCUGACGGAGCAAUGCCGCGUGUGGGAUGAAGCAUCUUCGAUGUGUAAACCACUGUCAGGGUUUAGGAACAAUGACCAGACCCAAAGGAAGGGCCGGCUAAUUCUGUGCCAGCAGCCGCGGUAAUACAGAAGGCCCGAGCGUUAAUCGGAAUCACUGGGCUUAAAGCGUACGCAGGCGGACCUGAAGGCAUCGUGUGAAAUCCCGCGGCUCAACCGCGGAACUGCACGGUGAACCACAGGUCUUGAGGCAGGUAGGGGUCAGUGGAACCAUGAGUGGAGCGGUGAAAUGCGUAGAUAUUCAUGGGAACGCCAAUGGCGAAGGCAGCUGACUGGGCCUGUUCUGACGCUCAUGUACGAAAGCGUGGGGAGCAAACAGGAUUAGAUACCCUAGUAGUCC